This 265-nucleotide long non-coding RNA is filed under the name Brassica napus (rape). Its description in RNAcentral is "long non-coding RNA (BNAP_LNC026397)". The record is from RNAcentral. Lineage: Eukaryota; Viridiplantae; Streptophyta; Magnoliopsida; Brassicales; Brassicaceae.
AAGCCUCGUCGCAGCUUGUCAGCUCCUCUGGAUGGUGGCACUCCGGUGGUGCUAAGGUUCGACGGUGGUUUGGUCGGAUGAUUUCGCGGAUCUGAAUACCUUUGCUUUCUUCUGCUGGGGAUCUCUGGUGGAGGCGUGAGAGUUUCAAUGGUGGUGAGCUUCGGCUUGUUUUUCAAUGUUCUCUGGUGACACACGCUUAGGAGGUGGGGGCGCGUGGCAGCGGCGCGUGUGCGGUGACAGUGCAAGUGGCAGUGUGUCGUGACGG